Molecule: ribosomal RNA, 381 nt
Filed under: uncultured bacterium
Lineage: Bacteria
Also listed under: 1 other name
Description: bacterial SSU rRNA
Rfam family: Archaeal small subunit ribosomal RNA
Source: RNAcentral
ACACCGGCAGCUCAAGUGAUGGCCGAUAUUAUUGGGCCUAAAGCGUCCGUAGCCAGCUGAACAGGUCCGUUGGGAAAUCUGCUCGCUCAACGAGCAGGCGUCCGGCGGAAACCAGUCAGCUUGGGACCGAGAGGACCGAAGGGUACGUCUGGGGUAGGAGUGAAAUCCCGUAAUCCUGGACGGACCACCGAUGGCGAAAGCACUUCGGUAGAUCGGAUCCGACGGUGAGGGACGAAAGCUAGGGUCACGAACCGGAUUAGAUACCCGGGUAGUCCUAGCUGUAAACGAUGCUCGUUAGGUGUGGCGCAAACUACGAGUUUGUGCCGUGCCGCAGUGAAGACGAUAAACGAGCCGCCUGGGAAGUACGUCCGCAAGGAUGAA